UCCCUAUGGGGUGCAGCAGGCGAGAAAACUUUGCAAUGUGCGAAAGCACGACAAGGUUAAUCCGAGUGGUUUCUGCUAAAGGAACCUUUCGUCAGUCCUAGAAACACUGAUGAAUAAGGGGUGGGCAAGUUCUGGUGUCAGCCGCCGCGGUAAAACCAGCACCUCAAGUGGUCAGGAUGAUUAUUGGGCCUAAAGCGUCCGUAGCCGGCUCUGUAAGUUUUCGGUUAAAUCUGUACGCUCAACGUACAGGCUGCCGGGAAUACUGUAGAGCUAGGGAGUGGGAGAGGUAGACGGUACUCGGUAGGAAGGGGUAAAAUCCUUUGAUCUAUUGAUGACCACCUGUGGCGAAGGCGGUCUACCAGAACACGUCCGACGGUGAGGGAUGAAAGCUGGGGGAGCAAACCGGAUUAGAUACCCGGGUAGUCCCAGCUGUAAACUAUGCAAACUCAGUGAUGCAUUGGCUUGUGGCCAAUGCAGUGCUGCAGGGAAGCCGUUAAGUUUGCCGCCUGGGAAGUACGCUCGCAAGAGUGAAACUUAAAGGAAUUGGCGGGGGAGCACCACAAGGGGUGAAGCCUGCGGUUCAAUUGGAUUCAACGCCGGAA
Molecule: ribosomal RNA, 602 nt
Filed under: uncultured archaeon
Lineage: Archaea
Description: bacterial SSU rRNA
Rfam family: Archaeal small subunit ribosomal RNA
Source: RNAcentral